UUUCCGUAGGUGAACCUGCGGAAGGAUCAUUAUCGUACAAAAUGUGAGGGGCAUGCGAGGGCUGUCGCUGUCCCAAAAGACGUGCACGCCCGAGUGUGUCCUCUUGCAUAAUAAUCCAUCUCACCCUUUGUGCAUCACCGCGUGGGCACCCUUCGGGAUCAUCUCGGAGGGGGGCUCGCGUUUUCACACAAACUUUGUAUGCAGUGUAGAAUGUAUUUUUUGUUUUUGCGAUCACGCAAUCAAUACAACUUUCAACAACGGAUCUCUUGGCUCUC
Molecule: unclassified non-coding RNA, 275 nt
Filed under: plant metagenome
Description: partial contains small subunit ribosomal RNA, internal transcribed spacer 1, and 5.8S ribosomal RNA
Source: RNAcentral